RNA transcript from Prunus dulcis (almond), 2442 nucleotides. RefSeq lists it as uncharacterized. Lineage: Eukaryota; Viridiplantae; Streptophyta; Magnoliopsida; Rosales; Rosaceae. The transcript is spliced from 5 exons. The record is from RefSeq and is a predicted model, not a curated record.
GUCAGCUUUCCACCUCCUCCCUCUUUCUCCUUUCUUCCUAUCUUGGCGUCACGACUCACAAAUUCUUUCUUAUCAGUUGGGGAAUCAGGUUUGGUCCAGAAUCAGAGGGCUAUUUCUCGUCAUCGGUUUCCUUAUGUAAAAUUCUUAUUCAUCAUCAGAGAGGCUGGGUCGUUGCAAGGAAAGGAGCAACCAGCACACGCCCUUUUUCAUGAAAAUUAAUCGCACGAAACUACUUGUUCAGCAUACAAGUCUGCAGUAACAAUAUUAAUGGAUACCAGUAUAGUGGAUGAAGCCUCCUCUCCAUCCUCUUCAUCCUGCUCCACAAAUGAUGAGAUGUAUGAUGUGUUCUUGAGCUUUAUCGGCGUAGACUCACGCAAGACCUUCACGGACCACCUCUACUGGACAUUGAAAGACGCCAGAGUCGAUGUCUUUAUUGCUGAGAAUAAACUAAGAGGACCAAAACUGAUGCAAGCAAUUGAACAAUCCAGAAUCGCUGUCAUCAUCUUCUCAAGUGGGUAUGCAUUUUCCAUAGGGUGUCUUCAGGAGCUGGAGAAGAUCAUGGAGUGUAGAAGAACACUAGGGCAAAUGGUUUUGCCAAUUUUCUAUCAUGUUGAUCCUAAAAAUGUUGGGAAACAAAUCGAUAGUUUUCCAGUGAACCACCAUGGAGUUAAAGAUUGGGAAGAAAUGAUGCGGUCAUGGAGAAAAUCUCUAAUUGAGGCCACAAAUUUGUCCGGCCUUGUUUAUAUGAAGAGUGAAGGGUAUGAAGGAAUGUUAAUCAGAAAAAUUGUUGACGAGAUCACCAGAAAACUGAAGAGCACAUGCGUAGACGUAGUCACCGAACAAGUAGAAUUAGAUUCAAGCAUUCAAGAAAUCAGUAAUGAUUUAAAGGUUCAUGUUGGAAAAGAUUCUCGAUUGCAAGAAAUUAGUACUCGUUUAGAUAUUGGAGGCCCAAAAGAUGCUCACAUUCAACCCCAAGGCCCACGGCCCACUGCUUUCAAAGUCAACAAAGCGUCGGUCAAGAUAAAGAAGCGACCACCUCAUGCAGUUGUGAAACGCUGCCGGACUGUGGUCAUCCAAGCCAAUCCUAGUGAGUUCAGGUCCUUAGUCCAACGCUUUACCAGCACUUCCUCUUCACCGUCCUCCGGUGAUGGCGGCCUCUCACCAGCCGCAAGACUCGCCUCCAUCAACAAAACAAGCCUUCAUUCUUCUUCCACUUCAGAUCACAAGAAGCCUUUGAUUCCCACCAUUUCUUCUCAUGACGAAGACUUCAUGGGAAGUAUUUGUAAUAAUCUUGAAGAUCUAGGAAGAGGAGAAGGAGGAGGAGGAUUCCUGCAAAUUGAUGAAACGCGUCACUUUCCAGGCUUAUUGUCUCCUGCCCCAGCCAGUUUGCCGCCUAUCCCAAAUGGGUUUUUCUCUCAUGAGCAUGACGGCGCCCUUGUGCCAUCUCCAACUGGAGCAGGCCAAAUCCAAAAAUUGAGUUCUAGCCCAGAUUGUUUACCGGCCAGGCCAAAAUUUCCCCCAAGCCCAAGAUAAAGCGGAAUAUAGCCCGAGAUUCCAGUCGCACUCAAAAUGGUGGAGCCGACGAUCGGAUGCUGAGCGAGCAGCCAACGUGAAAAUGAAGCCCGAGAUGGACCCCAGCUGAUAGCUGCUAUUGAAGGCAAGCUGUUGGAAUUGGCAAUCUCAUUGAUUUCUUCUCUACGCACAAAAAGCACAAGCGAAUGGAAUUGCAUUGGAUAAAUUGAAAACACUUUCUCCUUGGGAAACUCACGUAAAGCUUAAAAUAAGCUAUGUUCAGCUAGCUGAUGAUUGCCCGAGAGAUACAUUGCUUGAUAUAUCUUGUUUCUUCAUUGGAAUGAACAAGAACUAUGUCAUGCAUUUAUUGGACGGUUGUGGCUUUUCUCCAGUAAUAGAAAUGAGCCUUUUAACUGUUGGUGAUUAAAAAAAAAAAAAACAAGUUGAUGAUGCAUGGUUUGGUUCGAGACUUGAACAGAGAAAUCGGACGUGCAAAAUCUUUACAUGGAAGGCCUAGUAGAUUGUGGAAUCAUGAAAUGUAAAACGCCUGCUGAGGAACCAAUUGGUAACAUUUGCUAUCAGUUGUAUUACAUGCAUGUAGGAAACGGGGGAAAUUGAAGGACUCACUUCAGAUUUGCAAGAAUCUGACGAGCGUAGCUUCAGUACAGAAGCAUUUACAAGGAUGUGAAGACGAGAUUGGUCAAACUCAAUUACAUAAAGCUGACUGGUAGUUAAUAGCAUCUUUCGAAAGAGAACCUCGUUGGUAUGGAUUUCUUCUGGAGGUCAUACCCGAAGAUUUUAAUCAAGAAAACCUCGUUGGUAUUUAAAUGGAGGGUGAAUUAACAACUUCAUUAUGGCUGCCAAAUAUAAUCAUUCUAUUAAUUAACAUCGGACAAAAAAACCAAGAUGAUGGACAGGGUUUUACCAGAA